RNAcentral lists this ribosomal RNA (492 nucleotides) under uncultured bacterium. Its description in RNAcentral is "partial 16S ribosomal RNA". It matches the Rfam family "Bacterial small subunit ribosomal RNA", at positions 29 to 507 of the family's 1533-position model. The record is from RNAcentral.
AGUGAACGCUGGCGGUAGGCCUAACACAUGCAAGUCGAACGGCAGCACAGUAAGAGCUUGCUCUUACGGGUGGCGAGUGGCGGACGGGUGAGGAAUACAUCGGAAUCUACUUUUUCGUGGGGGAUAACGUAGGGAAACUUACGCUAAUACCGCAUACGACCUACGGGUGAAAGCAGGGGAUCUUCGGACCUUGCGCGAUUGAAUGAGCCGAUGUCGGAUUAGCUAGUUGGCGGGGUAAAGGCCCACCAAGGCGACGAUCCGUAGCUGGUCUGAGAGGAUGAUCAGCCACACUGGAACUGAGACACGGUCCAGACUCCUACGGGAGGCAGCAGUGGGGAAUAUUGGACAAUGGGCGCAAGCCUGAUCCAGCCAUACAGCGUGGGUGAAGAAGGCCUUCGGGUUGUAAAGCCCUUUUGUUGGGAAAGAAAAGCAGCAGGUUAAUACCCCGCUGUUCUGACGGUACCCAAAGAAUAAGCACCGGCUAACUUCGUG